RNAcentral lists this ribosomal RNA (370 nucleotides) under uncultured organism. Its description in RNAcentral is "partial 16S ribosomal RNA". It matches the Rfam family "Bacterial small subunit ribosomal RNA", at positions 527 to 896 of the family's 1533-position model. The record is from RNAcentral.
GUAGGUGGCAAGCGUUGCCCGGAAUUAUUGGGCGUAAAGCGCGCGCAGGCGGUUCUUUAAGUCUGAUGUGAAAGCCCACGGCUCAACCGUGGAGGGUCAUUGGAAACUGGAGAACUUGAGUACAGAAGAGGAAAGCGGAAUUCCACGUGUAGCGGUGAAAUGCGUAGAGAUGUGGAGGAACACCAGUGGCGAAGGCGGCUUUCUGGUCUGUAACUGACGCUGAGGCGCGAAAGCGUGGGGGAGCAAACAGGAUUAGAUACCCUGGUAGUCCACGCCGUAAACGAUGAGUGCUAAGUGUUAGGGGGUUCCGCCCCUUAGUGCUGCAGCUAACGCAUUAAGCACUCCGCCUGGGAGUACGGCCGCAAGGCUG